Ylistrum balloti is the source of this 329-nucleotide long non-coding RNA. RefSeq lists it as uncharacterized. Lineage: Eukaryota; Metazoa; Mollusca; Bivalvia; Pectinida; Pectinidae. The transcript has 2 exons. The record is from RefSeq and is a predicted model, not a curated record.
GGACGAGCUGUUUAGAUUUGGAGCUAUUUCUGGCGACAGUAGAGUAAAUGUAGCUGAGCUCAGACACAAAAGGAAUCAAUUUAACAAUGCGAAGUUCGUAUAUGUAUCGAAGUGGCCAAAAUUAUAUCAGAAUGACCCAUACAUAGAACGUUGGUAUCGAUCCAUGGAUGGGAGCUUCGGUGCAGAGGCCCCAGACGGGGUUCACACAUUUUGGACAGAUAAUAAUGAGAUUUCAUCGUCCUAGAUACAAGACAAUAGCUAGAAUAAUGCAGAUAUGUUUGAAAAAUAAAGAAUUUUGAAACUAUGGAUUAAAUAUUCCAGAGAGACUA